Molecule: ribosomal RNA, 522 nt
Filed under: uncultured bacterium
Lineage: Bacteria
Description: bacterial SSU rRNA
Rfam family: Bacterial small subunit ribosomal RNA
Source: RNAcentral
AAUAGAUACCCCGGUAGUCCAUGCCGUAAACGUUGGGAACUAGAUGUGGGGACCAUUCCACGGUCUCCGUGUCGCAGCUAACGCAUUAAGUUCCCCGCCUGGGGAGUACGGCCGCAAGGCUAAAACUCAAAGGAAUUGACGGGGGCCCGCACAAGCGGCGGAGCAUGCGGAUUAAUUCGAUGCAACGCGAAGAACCUUACCAAGGCUUGACAUAGCCGAGAACGCUGCAGAAAUGUAGAACUCUUUGGACACUCGGUUACAGGUGGUGCAUGGUUGUCGUCAGCUCGUGUCGUGAGAUGUUGGGUUAAGUCCCGCAACGAGCGCAACCCUCGUCGUAUGUUGCCAGCACGUAAUGGUGGGAACUCAUAUGAGACUGCCGGGGUCAACUCGGAGGAAGGUGGGGAUGAGGUCAAAUCAUCAUGCCCCUUAUGUCUUGGGCUUCACGCAUGCUACAAUGGCCGGUACAAAGGGCUGCAAUACCGCGAGGUGGAGCGAAUCCCAAAAAGCCGGUCUCAGUUCGGA